GACGAACGCUGGCGGCGUGCUUAACACAUGCAAGUCGAACGGAAAGGCCCUGCUUUUGUGGGGUGCUCGAGUGGCGAACGGGUGAGUAACACGUGAGUAACCUGCCCUUGACUUUGGGAUAACUUCAGGAAACUGGGGCUAAUACCGGAUAGGAGCUCCUGCUGCAUGGUGGGGGUUGGAAAGUUUCGGCGGUUGGGGAUGGACUCGCGGCUUAUCAGCUUGUUGGUGGGGUAGUGGCUUACCAAGGCUUUGACGGGUAGCCGGCCUGAGAGGGUGAUCGGAAAGAUUGGGACAGAGAUACGGCCGAGACUCCGCGGGGAGGCAGCAGUGGGGAAGGUGGAAAGAUGGGCGGAGGCUGGAAGCAGUAAGGCGGCGGGGGGGAGGAGGGCCUGAGGGUGGGAGCCAGGUUCCGCCUGUGACAAGGGGUAGGGGACGGGAAGGGGAAAAGAAGCAGGGGAAAAAUAGGGC
Molecule: ribosomal RNA, 468 nt
Filed under: uncultured bacterium
Lineage: Bacteria
Description: partial 16S ribosomal RNA
Rfam family: Bacterial small subunit ribosomal RNA (bases 12-374)
Source: RNAcentral